GGAUCAGACUGAUACGAUGAAGUCAUAGAUGGUAGCUGUUUAUCAUCGCUUCUGUGUUAUGCAUGAGGAUGUCCACAAAUACUUCGGUUCUUUCUUCUUCUGGGCACACGAUGAAUAAAAUGGGGCCAGGAGAAGCAGCCCCCUCUCCAAAGCCAUGCAGCUUCUAAGAAAUAACAGCCACCCCAGGCUUCAGGCUCCAAGACCAGCACUCUUGCUCCUGCUCCACAGCCACCAAGACCACCAGCUGCCAUGUUGGGAGGACACUCAAGCAGCCCGUGGAGGAACUCCCACGGUGAGGAGUCUGCCAACAAUCAGAUGGGUGAACUGGGACAUGUAUCUUCCUAGGCCUGCCAACAUGUGAAUAGGCUGGGAAGUGGAUCUUUGACCCCCAUGUUGAGCCUUCAGAUGAAACCACAGCCCUGGUGAACAGCUUGAUGCAACCUCAUGAGAUACCUCAGAGCAGCAGUCCCCAACCUUUCUGGCACCUGGGACCAGUUUCGUGGAAGGCAAUCUUCCCACAGACCGGGGUUGGGGGUUGAGGAUGGUUUUAGGAUGAAACUCUUCCACCUCAGGUCAUUAGGCAUUAGAGUCUCAUAAGGAACACACAACCUAGAUCCCUCUUCAUGCUCCUAUGAGAAUCCAGUGCUGCUGCUGAUCUGGCAGGAGGUGAAGCUCAGGCAGUAAUGCUCACUUGCCCACCUCUCACCUUCUGCUGUGCAGCCUGAUCCUAACAGGCCAUAGACCAGUACCAGCCUAUGUCCUGGGGGUUGGGAACUCCUGUCUUGGAGUACAGGUACCCAGCUGAGCUGUGGAAGAUUCUCAACACAGGGAAUGUGUAGAAUAAUGAAGAUUUAUUGUUUAAAGCUACUAAGUUUCGGAGUAAUUUGUUAUGCAGCAAUAGGUAACUAAUACACCAUCAAAUGCAUUUUGCUCAGUCAGAUUGCAAGGCAGACCCUACUAGAGCUCCAGCUGCAACCCUGUUUUUCAGGAUAUAAAAGUAUAUAUUGUGGUAGACCAAAUAAUGAGCCUCCUAAAAUGUCCACAUUCCUAAUUUCCUGGAACAUACCGUGGAGUGUGUUACACCACAAGACAAAAGGGACUUUGCAGAUGUAAUUAAAGUUACAAACUUUAAAAUACAUUAUCUUAGAUGAGCUGAGUGGGUCCAAUCUAAUUACCUGAGCCCUUAAAAACAGAACUUUGGCUGGAGGCAGGAGAGAUUUGCCGGAAGUGGAAGUUGGAAAGAUUCAGUGUGAGAGGACCUCACUGUUCCUGGAAAAGGCAACAUGUAAAGCGUGAUAAUGAAGAUGGGCAGCCUCUAGGAGCUAAGACUCCACCGCAGCUGAUAGCCAGCAAGAAGACGGGGAUCUGGGCUGUCAGGAGCUGAACAACCUGAAAAAGCUUGAAAGCAAUUCAGUGCUGGAGUCGCCAGAAAGGAAUGCAGUCCUGCUAACUCCUUGAUUUUGGCCCUAUGAAAGCCAGGGAAGAAAAAUCAGUAGCGCCAAUUGAGACUUCAGACCUACAGAGGUCUAAGAUAAAUAAAUUUGUGUUAUUUUCAGUU
Molecule: long non-coding RNA, 1558 nt
Organism: Symphalangus syndactylus (siamang)
Lineage: Eukaryota; Metazoa; Chordata; Mammalia; Primates; Hylobatidae
Source: RefSeq, a predicted model, not a curated record